This is a long non-coding RNA of Carassius gibelio (silver crucian carp), 359 nucleotides long. RefSeq lists it as uncharacterized. The record is from RefSeq and is a predicted model, not a curated record. Lineage: Eukaryota; Metazoa; Chordata; Actinopteri; Cypriniformes; Cyprinidae. The transcript has 3 exons.
CACUGCGAAGGUGCAGUGAAGGGCAGAUAACGGUCACUGCGAAGGUGCAGUGAAGGGCAGAUAACGGUCACUGCGAAGGUGCAGUGAAGGGCAGAUAACCGUCACUGCGAAGGUGCACUGAAGGGUAGAUAACUGUAACUGAAGUAGUAUUGACAAAGGCACUAACAUAAAGAAUAACAAACUCUAGAUUUUAGACAUGGCCCUUGCAUUGUAAAGUUGCUACAUAGCCACUUCAUCUACUUACCACCAUGUUUUACUCUUCCACUGAAAAUCAAAAAGAAAAACCUUUGCAGACUCAUUGUACUCAAUAGUUUGGAGCUCUGCCUGCUGCUGUGACAGUAGUUUCCCCUCGGUACUCC